ACGCUCGACACCUACGGGAGGCGGCAGUGGGGAAUAUUGCACAAUGGGGGAAACCCGUACGAUGCAGCGACGCCGCGUGAGCGAAGAAGUAUUUCGGUAUGUAAAGCUCUAUCAGCAGGGAAGAAAAUGACGGUACCUGACUAAGAAGCCCCGGCCUAACUACGUGCCAGCAGCCACGGUAAUCUGAGCGGGCUGGCAAGGC
This 202-nucleotide ribosomal RNA is filed under the name uncultured bacterium. RNAcentral describes it as "partial 16S ribosomal RNA". It matches the Rfam family "Bacterial small subunit ribosomal RNA", at positions 328 to 539 of the family's 1533-position model. The record is from RNAcentral.